GUCCACGCUGUAAACGAUGUCGAUUUGGAGGUUGUGCCCUUGAGGCGUGGCUUCCGGAGCUAACGCGUUAAAUCGACCGCCUGGGGAGUACGGCCGCAAGGUUAAAACUCAAAUGAAUUGACGGGGGCCCGCACAAGCGGUGGAGCAUGUGGUUUAAUUCGAUGCAACGCGAAGAACCUUACCUGGUCUUGACAUCCACAGAACUUUCCAGAGAUGGAUUGGUGCCUUCGGGAACUGUGAGACAGGUGCUGCAUGGCUGUCGU
RNAcentral lists this ribosomal RNA (263 nucleotides) under uncultured bacterium. Its description in RNAcentral is "partial 16S ribosomal RNA". It matches the Rfam family "Bacterial small subunit ribosomal RNA", at positions 793 to 1055 of the family's 1533-position model. The record is from RNAcentral.